GGCGGGCUUCCGGCGGCGCCAUUGCUCGAGCCAGAGCGGGAGGGCGGGGCGACGCGGUGCGAUGGUUUCGGGUCCGCGGCAGGUGAUACCCGCACGCUGCUUCGUGUGCGCUGUCGUUAGGGCGCCGUGGCCUCGCGUCCGGCGUGGGACUCUGGCGAGGAGACGGAGUGAGUGAGGAAUUCGUACAAGGGACUCUCAACCGCAGAGAGCCGUAGGAAGAAAUGAGGUGGAACCCGCAGACUUUUUAGAGCCUUCUCGCGGCCGAGGAGGGACUCUGGCUUAUUUCCUAACUCACCGUUCACUCGUGCUUUAUAGUUGAACAAUAGUUAAAUAUUUAAAGAUUCAGACAAAGCAGCAGCCGGGCUGGGAUGUGUCCAAUGAACCUUGUUACCAAGGGGGAAAUGCUGCCACUCUGUGGGAAAGAGAUUUUGUUGUUUGUUUUUAAUUUAAGAGCCUAACUUAUUUCACAAAGGAAUGGUCGAUACUUGCCCAAAGUAAACUGUCAAUAAUUAAACUGUCAGGGCAUAGAGAUCCCACAGAAGUACUUGUUCUUCCAAUACAUAAAUAAAGGACUUCAAAAGUCAACAAACAGAAAGGGGUGCGUUAAAUGGGUCUUCUAAUCUACAGGAACUGAAAGAUUAGCUCUGGUUUGGUUGGUGCUCACAUUUUGUGAUUGCUUGCCUGAACUACUUGCUCUGUUUGACCGCCUCUGGCGAAUGUUGCAAGACCUCCUCACUGUUGUGUGCCAAAUAAAGCAGGUUUUUAUUCCUGAGAGACUGUGAGUGUUCUCUUUGAGGGGCAAGCCGAGACAUGUAUGAGUAGUUAAAGUAUAACAACAGUAACCAUUAUUUACCGAGAAGCAGACUUUGGCAGAUAAUCUAAGGAUCUAAAAUACUGCUCCUCGGGUAUAUUGCUAAUGGUUGCAUAUUGUAUUAGCAGCAGUGGUCUUCUUAUUCUUGGGUGAAAACCUGAAGGGUUGCUUAGACCUGUUGCAGAACAAACAGCACAUAACCAGCUUGUAUCAGGGACAUGGUCACUUCAGUAGAUGGUUUCUCACAAGUUCUGCCUCCCACUGUGUUGCUGUUUUAUCUCUAAAGGCCCCAGGGUCCCCACAAGUCUUGGGAAUAAAAGGAAGCACAGUAAGGAACUGAAAAGUACUCACACAAAGGAAAGAAAGAAGCAAGCUUCUUUGGCUAUAGUGUACUGGAGACCUUGGGAUCUUUACGUUCUUGUUUUAGGGAUCAAUCUCCUGGUACAUUAGGCAGACUUGUGCAAACCCAAGAACAGCAUAGAGGUUGCUAUAGAGGACAGCCUUACUGUGGCCCUUCAUUACCUUAACCAAAGAUGGUAAGUAAGAUUGGCUCCCACACCGUGAACUGUUCAAUGGUGAGCAGCUCUUGAGUCUCCAUACUGAUACCCCUUCAGAACUCAUUCACUCUGAGAGCCUUUUCCUCUUAGACUAGAAAGCUUCCUAGUUGACCUCUAGUCAUUUGGGCUCCUUCACAUCAGUAAAUUAGUCUAUAUCUGACCAGUCCUCUAGCUCCUUAUCCUUUCUGAGAGGAAGGGGAGUAGUUGUGGUUUUGUUUGUUUGAGUCUUGCUAUGUAGUGGAGGCUAUACUUGGACCCUGGGUCAUUCUGGUCCAGCCUCUUAAGUAAUGGAAUGAUGGACAUUCACCACCGCUAUUGUCUCUUAACUCGGACUUUAGUGUCUCCCAAAUGUCCUUCAGACAUCGUUUUUAAAUAACAAUAAGUUCUGCCUUGUUCGUAAGUAAAUUUUAGCCAGGUGUAACCCCCUAGACUUGAAAGGUGAAGACAAGCAGGUUAAGAAUUCAAUAUCUUGAUAGGCAUGCAGUGAGUUUGAACCAUUCCAGGCUACUUGAGACCCUGCCUCAGAGAGGAGGUAGGGUGUUGAGGUAGUUCCCAUUGGAGUCCAGACUGGGAAGAGCUGUGUAUUCAAAAUUAAAACAGCUUGCCUGCAUAGGGAACUCUAAAGCGAAGGAAGAUCUACACAGUAUUUGUGAUUACACAAAGCCUUAAAAAAUUGUAAGUUUGCUUUUCUCUUGAGAAGGUGAUGUCUAGCAGACUUGUCAUUCAUUGGUCUCUAAAGUCUUUCUACCUUUGUAAGUACAAAGUUAAGUCUCACUCUAACCGUGUGUCAAUGAAAGGAGCAUGCCCUGAAUAAGAUUGUACUGUAGGGAUGUGAUUUGCUCUGGUUAAAAGGUGCUGAAAGGUCUCUCACCUGUACUUGGCCUUCUGCCCCCCACCCCUAGUUACCCUGUACAUAUAUGACUUCUUCUGGUAGGAUUGGGUUUUAUCCCUGAAGUUUUAUUUUUACAGUUUUGCUUUUCAUCCAAACACAGUGCAAAUGCCUCUCUUCAUCAGCACGUUUGUAACUUUAAGAAUUAAUUGGGCUCGUUAUAUUUUGAAGAGCAUGCUGAAGAAUAGUAAAUUUUAAAGAACCAGCUGAGAACAUUGUGUACCAUGUUCUGAAGUCAGUGCGUCUCAAAUACUGUCGCUAAUCCUGAAGUAAAUCACCCAUCAAAGAUUCAUGUUCUUAGACAGUUAAAGAACAGAAGACUUCAAAAGUAAAGCAGGAUUCUAAACAUACCUUACCAAAAUCCCCACUCGCUCAGAGUCUUGGCAGAAGUGUUUUUGUUUUUCUUUUUCCCUCCACAAAGUAGAGUUAUACUUUUUGAGUCUAUCAUUGCCCACAACUAAAAUCCCCGACUUCAGGAUUUCCUGCUGCCCAGGUGGUGGCAGCAUGUCUCAGAGAGCUAGUGUGCUGGGGAAAGGCUUAACCCCAGCCUGGCUGGCUGGCUGCUUGUUUGAACGUGCAUAACCUGCCUCUGUGCAGAACGCUUUCACUUCUCCAUUUAUCGACCCAUGAGUGAUUCAUCCCACUGUAGCCUCCUCUUCUAGGUACAUUACACUCCAGUAGUUUCUCUUCAGCUUGUUCUGUCUAUAAAGUAUCUAUCAGACUCUCUCUAGAAAACUCAUUAGGACCUAUCAGGCGAGACAGUGUUAUUUCAGUUGUUAUUUUUAACCAGUAUUUGAUAUUAUUGGCAGUACUGACAGUAUCAGUAUUAGCUAAUACUACUAAGAAAUGUCUGCUUAAAAUAAAGGCAUGGUGUCUUAAACUCACAGAUUCAUCAGCGGAGGAGCUUAUGAAAAGCAGAAUUAGGACUCAAACGAACAAGAAACUCCACAGAGAGUAAUGCGAGAUUAUCAUUUAUGGGUCUAAGAAGACAGAGGGUAUAGGACGCUGGCAGUCAAGGCUGAAUUCCAUCCCCAGAUCCCAACUCAUGGAAGACAGAUCAGACACGAAAGUGUAUGUUGGGGGAAGACAAAGACUCGUGCCCCAAUGUAAGACCUUAAGGAUGGAGGGAGAUGCUCCUGUCUGAAGCCAUCAAUUUGCCAGGCUGUUCUCUAAAAUCGGAUGGAUCUUGGGGAAUGACUACGGACCGUUGCUGACUUAACUAAAUAGUACCUGAGUUCUGAGCCUCCAGCCUGGACUCGUGCUUCAGAUAAUGAUACUACCACAAAUACAAAGUCUUCAUCUGUUGAUUUGACGAGUGUCUUUAUCCUGUUCCAGUGGGAAGAGAAACAGUCCACCUUCACCAAAUACAGGCAAGGCUGUUAACUCCUCCACCCUCGAUCAUAAUAAAAAUGAAUUAAUCGGAAUCAUUUGAAUAUCCGUUAUAACAAUGGCCUGAUCCCGUUUAUCGACCAUAUUGUACUGAUUGGAUCUGAUGAACAAAAGACAGCCACUAUGCUGAAUACCUUUGCUCCAGAAGGAGGGGGUAAAUGCUAUAAAGACUAAAAGUUUUCUGACUCUUUAUUUUUUUUUUUAAUGUGUCUGCAUGCUCUUGUGUGUGCAUGCAUGUAGAGGCCAUAGGCAGCCUCAAGUGUCACCCUCAGGAAUGCCAUCUACCUCCUUUGCUUCGCACAGAAGCCGGUUGUCAUCCUCUGAGCUGCUCUAAUGAGAUGCAAGGACCGAAGGAUGGCUGAGGGCCAGGGAGGAGCUCAAUCCUGUCCUUGGGAGUCGGUCUGGUCACGUUCUCUUCUUUCAAGCUGAAGAUGGCACCCGCUCGGCUAAGCCGGUGAAUGUGGACUUACAAGGACUCAGCCAAGUCGUGUCUAGAUUACAGGCCAAAGAUGACGAGGGAAAGAGAGCACCAGGCAAAACAAAUUUUAAUUACAAUAAUGAUGAAUGGUCCAAUAGAGCUGCAAGAUAAUGGAAGGAAGAUGGGGUACCUGAAGCCAGCUCGUUAAAAUCAGAAAAGGUGUCCUCGAGGAAACGUGGGUCCCAGACUUAAGGUAAGUAUAAAACUAAUGAGUGUGAAUAUGGCAGAAUGAACACAGCGAAGGAGUAAGGAGAGCUAAGGGGUCCAGUUGUCAAAUGAGCAGGGAGAUGGCAUGUGAUUACUUGAAGAAGAGGGAGGACCCUCUAGGGAGUAGGGGGCUGCUGACAGAAGACAAAACUGAGGGGUUGAGCGGUCUGAACAGGAGAGGUGAGGACACACCUUCUGGUGGUGGCAGAGGGAGGGGGUCUAGGGGAGAUGGCUUAUUACUCAGGGUGGGGCAAGGAUAGGCAGCAAAAGCAUCAGGGGCUGGUCUCGGAGUCCGGUCUGGCGAUGCUAUAGCAGAAAGGUUAGGGCUGCCUGCUCACAGGAUUCGGGUAAAGCCUGAGACAGAGGGGUGGGGGAGGGGAGACAACUGUUCUGAUCCAAACUUCCUAACUUUAGAGCAUACACAUCAGCAACUGAUGAGUCGCACUUGAGGUGGAAACCAAUAUGCCAGUGCCAUUUGGUGGAAGAACACAUGGGAGAGGAUGCCUUACUGACCUGGGAGGAAUUUUGAGUGUGACUUUAUUUAUCGCUGUGUUUUAGUGAUUUGUAGUCAGUUUUUUAAUAAGACUGGGAAGACCAUUUCCUUUUUUUCCUUUUUUUUUUUGUUUUUUGUUUGUUUGUUUGUUUUGUUUUGUUUUUUUUAGACAAAGCUUAGGUGGCCCAGGCUGACCCUGAACUUCUGAUCUUCUUGCUUUGCCUCUGGAGAGUUGGGGGUUACAGAAGGGCACCGUCGUGCUUUGCUUAGGAGACCUUGAGAAUUAGCUGUGUUGACUUGGAGAGCACACUUUACUUCAGGAUGACCCACAGACUCUAUUCUCAUCCACUGGUUGUGGUAGUUUGUUCAGUUCUUCCAUUUUAGGUACCUUUGCCCCAAGCUCAAGCGUUUUUUAUUUAGACAUCAAUAGAAUAGGAGCUGACAGCACAUCAAAUUUACGUGUAUUUUAUUUCAUUUUUAUAGAUGAAUUCUGUAUUUACAUCCUUCCAUUCUUCCCCCCUCAAUUUUUCCUGUUUCCCUAACUCCUUUUAAAAUUCACAAUCUCUUAAUUAUUAUCAUUAUAUAUGAAUGCAUAUGUAUAUAUCUAUACAUGCUACACAAAUAUAGCAAUAAUAUUAUACACACCCACAACCUGUUGAGUUCCUUUAGUGUUCUCAUAUGUAUGUGAGUUUAGGGCUGACUACUUGGCAUUCUAAUUUUGAGCCUAGACUUUAAUGGCUGAGACAUCUCUCCAGCCCAGGGCUAGCCACUUAGGGUUAGAUAACCCAAUUGGUGGCUGGUCCCUGGAAAAGACUGCUUCUCCCUCUCUUAAUAGCCAUUGGUUACCUGUAGCUCUUCAUUGCAUGGUGGGGUCCUGUGAGUGAUAGCAUUUCAUGAUCCUUGCUAACGAUUUGGUCACUGUUUUCUUUUCAAAGAGCGAUACUGCCCAAGAUGUUUCUGCCCAGAGUGUCAGGGCAAGCGUACAUGCUUUACUGUGGAUCUAUGACACAGAUGCAUGCCCGCUUUCCAGCAAAAGUCUGCUCACCUGCUGGGCAGGGCUCUCCGUUUUUUUUUUUAUUGAGUGGUGAAGACACAUAGCAUUCCCACUACUUAAUCUUGACGCUUUGAACUUUUCAAGCUGUUUUUCCUUCCCCUUUAGUCUGGAUAGCCGCUGUGUCCCCACAAGAGGAGGAACAGUCAUGGAGAAACACAACUGAACUUUACUGUGGCAAAAAGAAAGGGAAAAUAACAAUUAUGAGGUCUGGACAUCGAGCCUGAGGCUGGUGUUAAAAAAAAAAGAAUGCUUAUGUCUGCAUAACUUAACUUGUAUCUCUUCAGUAAAUCAAACCUGCUAUUCCACUUGACUGCAUCCAAGUCACUUAGAUGUCUGCCAACAAGAACAUUAAUGAACUCAGUAUCUCACGCAGGUUUGUUCAUGUAGAGCCCACAAUUGCUUAGCCUCCCUUCCAGCUGCUGCCUGGGCUCCAUCUGAAGGAGGUGGACAGCUGGACCAGGUCAUCACUUAACCCCAGGAUGUGGUAUGUCCUGGUCUUCAAGUCCUCUGUCUGGUUUUAGGAUGGCAUGGCUUUGAAAAGUAGUAGUUCUUGUCCUGAAAAACUUCAUGAAGCUUUGCUGCGUUCUGCCUUUGACGUAAGUGCCUGUCACAUGCUACAUAACUGACUAUGUUGUACUCUUGCUCUCUGGGGUCUCAGUUUACCUCCAUGGAUUUAUAAUUAAUGGGAUUAUUCCAGAACACAUUGUUACUCCUUAGAUUUCUCCAGAUGAUACGAGACGAUUAAGAGAAAUGCUGAAGUUGAUAUGAACCUAAUUUGUCAAAAAUGUAACAGAAUUAUAGAGAGAUCAGUCACUCCCAAACCUUUCUGCAGGUGGAGUCUAACGAAGGGAGGUCUAUAAAGUUCUAAGUCCCAGGCUGCGUGCCAGACCAAUAAAACCACACUUCUGAGGAUGGGCUUCAGGCAACAGUAGUAUGUUCACUCCACAGGUCAUCCCCAUGUGGAGACAUGUUUGGAAACCACAGAUCUGGACAAGGCCGUUGGCAACACGUCUGUGGCUCGUUCUCCCCUGCCCUGCCCUGCGGUUGGUGGCAUGUUUUUGGCUUUUUAGCAUCUUCCUUAUCUCCAUCCACAGAGAACUCCGAAGUUGGAAGCCUAAGCAGGAACACUGGACCAGACAUGACUGAAAGGUAACAACCAUUAAAGGAGCAAAGACCAAAAA
RNAcentral lists this small RNA (7059 nucleotides) under Rattus norvegicus (Norway rat). Its description in RNAcentral is "uncharacterized LOC102549347". Lineage: Eukaryota; Metazoa; Chordata; Mammalia; Rodentia; Muridae. The record is from RNAcentral.